UACGUAGGGCGCAAGCGUUGUCCGGAAUUAUUGGGCGUAAAGAGCUCGUAGGCGGUUUGUCGCGUCUGCCGUGAAAGUCCGGGGCUCAACUCCGGAUCUGCGGUGGGUACGGGCAGACUAGAGUGAUGUAGGGGGAGACUGGAAUUCCUGGUGUAGCGGUGAAAUGCGCAGAUAUCAGGAGGAACACCGGUGGCGAAGGCGGGUCUCUGGGUAGUAACUGACGCUGAGGAACGAAAGCGUGGGUAGCGAACAGG
Molecule: ribosomal RNA, 254 nt
Filed under: uncultured bacterium
Lineage: Bacteria
Description: partial 16S ribosomal RNA
Rfam family: Bacterial small subunit ribosomal RNA
Source: RNAcentral